AACACAAAGUCAAAAAAGUACAAAAAAGUAAAAAAGCUCAAAAUAUAAAAAUCACAUGUAUAUUUACCUGACAUCUAUUGGAAAAAAAAUAACUAAAAAAGCUCUUUUGUUUUUGAAGUUUUAAAUUUCAAAUAAAAUUUUUUUUUUAAAGUAAACAAGGGAAGUUCGACCUGGAUGAAGUUCGACUUUGAGGGAAUCGACUACCUAUGUAUAAUUGAAAAAAAAACUACACCCAUUAAAAUGGCGUUGACAGCUUUUGAAAAUGCGACGAAAACUAUCCUAACAAACACUGAGUCAUUUGUUGCAAAAUGUUGCAAGUCUGAAGUAUUUUCGCUUUUUAUCCCAGAGCGGCGGAUUUCUCUUUGAAUGAUGGUUAUCAGAAACUCAUCCUCAGCUUCUGCAAAAUAGAUUUUUUUUUACGUGAAGAAUUAAAAAAAAAACUUCAAUUUAACAGACCAUUCGAUUCCAAAAUCCAAGUCUUUUAUGAUCCAUUCUUUAAACGCACAGAAGCAACAAAAUAAAUGAGUUUCUUCAAUUUAAAUUGAACCAUUACAAAAUCUUUGAAUGUCCCAUAAUGUAUUUAGGUAUACAAAUAUUCUAAAACAUUUAAUAAUGUUAUUUCUUGCUUACGGCAUUGUUUUCCAGACGUUUUUAUAAAUUUAGCUGAUAAUUUUUUGAUAUUAUUUUGAAA
Long non-coding RNA from Episyrphus balteatus (marmalade hoverfly), 691 nucleotides. RefSeq lists it as uncharacterized. NCBI's taxonomy places the organism in Eukaryota, Metazoa, Arthropoda, Insecta, Diptera, Syrphidae. The record is from RefSeq and is a predicted model, not a curated record. The transcript has 2 exons.